UGCCUCACUACUCCUCCGGGUCC
RNAcentral lists this non-coding RNA (23 nucleotides) under Mus musculus (house mouse). Lineage: Eukaryota; Metazoa; Chordata; Mammalia; Rodentia; Muridae. The record is from RNAcentral.